Molecule: small RNA, 288 nt
Filed under: uncultured Butyricicoccus sp.
Lineage: Bacteria; Bacillati; Bacillota; Clostridia; Eubacteriales; Butyricicoccaceae
Description: 5' ureB small RNA
Rfam family: 5' ureB small RNA
Source: RNAcentral
AUCUGCUGCGGGCUAAUGAAAUGGAUAUGGGUAUCAAUGCCGCCUGCGGUGACAAGCAUACCUUCGCCUGCAAGUGCUUCGGUAGAUGCACCCACCGUCAUGCCCGGCGUGACGCCAUCCAUGGUAUCCGGGUUGCCAGCCUUGCCAAUUCCUGCGAUUUUACCGUCCUUGAUGCCAAUAUCCGCCUUUACAAUGCCGGUGGAAUCGACAAUCAGUGCAUUGGUGAUGACCAGAUCCAGAUCACCAUCCAUGCUGCGGGUCUUGACAGACUGCCCCAUGCCAUCACGC